AAAAGGGGGCGGGACUUCCGCCCGGCGGGGCAGUGCGGCCUGGGGUGUGGUUGGUGAUGAGUGUGCGAGCGUGAGUGUGAGUGAGUGAGUGUGCAAGGCGAGUGUGUGCGCCCACCCCUGCGCCCCUUCCCCGCCUACACCUUGAUCUUAUUUGAUCGGGUCGAACCCCAACCCUUAGCCCCGCCGGUUCGACCCGAGAUGAGAAAAACCUCCCUCCUGCGAAGCCCGCCUGUUGGGCCCUGUGCAGUGAGGCCUUCCUGGAGGCGGUGGCGUCACCACCUGAGGCCCUAGUUCGGUCCCGGCCCAGAGUCGGUUCCGAGGGGUCCGGUGCUCGGAUGUGAUGAAUUGAUCAGAUAGACGAGGCCCGGAGGUUCGCCCCCCGGGUCGCUGAUUUAUCAAAGGCGAUUCUGAUCUGA
Suncus etruscus (white-toothed pygmy shrew) is the source of this 416-nucleotide non-coding RNA. RefSeq annotates it as small Cajal body-specific RNA 2. The transcript has a single exon. The record is from RefSeq and is a predicted model, not a curated record. NCBI's taxonomy places the organism in Eukaryota, Metazoa, Chordata, Mammalia, Eulipotyphla, Soricidae.